ACCCUUAUCACACAAGUGAAGUUUGGGCAAGAUCGGACAUUUUAUGCCUGAGUUAUAACAUCUUUUAUUCCCAUGGCGAGACAUUGAACUUCAUCACGGCGCCAUGGACACACCUUUUAACAAAAACUCAAGAUCUUCACAACUAAACAUCACACAGGUCUUUAGAUUAGACUGACCACAAAAAAGACAUUGAUGUCAUAAAAUUUCUAGGAGUAGUUUGUCGCAGUGUAAAAUAUGUAACUUCCUGUUGCCAAUAGGUGGCGCUAUGACUAUAACUGAAUAUUGGCAUGUAGAUCUGUUCAGGUCAAGAGUCUUAUCCAACAUGUGAAGUUUGGGGCAGAUUGGACAUUGUAUGUCUGAGUUACAGCAACUUCCUUUUUCAUGGCGAAACAUCGAAAUUUGUCAGGCCGCCAUGGACCCGCCCUUUAACGAAACCUCAAGUCCUUCGCAAUUUAUUAUCGCAAAGGGCUUUAGAUUACACUGACCAAGUUUGGUGUUGAUCUGAAUAAAUCUCUAGGAGGAGUUCGUUAAAGUACAACCCCUGAAAAUGGCAAAAACAACAGCAAUUUUGAAGGGAAAAUUCAAAAUAACCGACUUCCUGUUGGGAUCCGGAUUUCGUACCAAGAGACUUUUUUGUAGGUAUUGGAGUGUUACAUGUGUGUACCAAUUUUUGUACAUGUACGUGAAACAUAGCUCGAGGCGCACUCCGUUGAAAGUGUAUAGGUGGCGCUAUAGAGCCAUUCUGCCACACCCGGUGGAAUAUUGGCCUGAAGAUCUGUUCAGGCCAGGACUCUUAUCACACAUGUGAAGUUUGGGGAAGAUCGGACAUCUUAUGCCUGAGUUAUAACAUCUUUUAUUCGCAUGGCGAGACAUCGAACUUCGUCGCGGCGCCAUGAACAAGCCUUUUAACGAAAACUCAAGAUCUUCACAACUGAACAUCGCACAGGCAUUUAGAUUAGACUGACCACAAAAAAGACAUUGAUGUCAUAAAAUUUCUAGGAGUAGUUCGUCGCAGCGUAAAAUAUGUCACUUCCUGUUGCCAAUAGGUGGCGCUAUGACUAUAACUGAAUAUGGGCAUGUCAAUCUGUUCAGGUUCGGAGUCUCAUCAAACAUGUGAAGUUUGGGGCAGAUUGGUCAUUGUAUGUGUGAGUUAUAGCAACUUCAUUUUUCAUGGCGAAUCAUCGAAAUUCGCCAGGCCGCCACGGACACGCCCUUCAACGAAAAGUCAGGAUCUUCGCAAUUUAACAUCGCAAAGGCCUUUAGAUUAGACAUACCAAAUUUGGUGUUGAUUUGAAGAACUCUCUAGGAGGAGUUCGUUAAAAUACAACACAUGGAAAUGACCAAAAUUACACAAAAUAUGCUCAUAAUAUUAAAAAUAACCGACUUCCUGUUGGGUUUAGAAUUUCGCUCCAAGAGUCUUUUUUGUAGGUAUUGGUGUGUUACAUAUGUGUGCCAAUUUUCGUGCAUGUACGUGAAACAUAGCUGGAAGGCUGUUGAUUUUCUUGGUAUAGGUGGCGCUGUCGAGCCAUUUUGCCACACCCUCUUCUGAAUCCUAUAUCAGACGAAAAUUUUCACCAGGUUUGACGAGUGUGCAAAGUUUCAUGACUUUUUGAGCAUGUUAAAGCCCUCAAAAAUGCGAUUCAUUCGGGAGAAGAAGAAGAAGAAGAAGAAUAAUAAUAAUAAAAAACAAAGCAGAUACAAGAGGGUCCUCGCACCUCGGUGCUCGGGCCCUAAUUAAAGCUGCAAGCAGCGAUGAACGGGCCCUCGCACCCGGGCUCACCGCCAUCGUGUGGCUUUAGUAAAAAGGUGUACGUUGAGAAAUAUGCAUUUAAACUCAUAAAUAUAAGUGCAAUAUAUCAAAGUUUAUUCCAUAUGUGUGCCAAUCUUCCUGUUGCCAGCAGGUGGCGCUAUCGUUAUAAUGGAAUAUUGGCCUUCAGAUGUGUUCAAGCCAGGACCCUUAUCACACAUGUGAAGUUUGGGCAAGAUCGGACAUUUUAUGCCUGAGUUAUAACAUCUUUUAUUCCCGUGGCAAGACAUCGAACUUCGUCAUGGCGACAUGGACACGCCUUUUAACAAAAACUCAAGAUCUUCACAACUAAACAUCACACAGGUCUUUAGAUUAGACUGACCACAAAAAAGACAUUGAUGUCAUACAAUUUCUGGGAGUAGUUUGUCUCAGUGUAAAAUAUGUCACUUCCAGUUGCCAAUAGGUGGCGCUAUGACUAUAACUGAAUAUUGGCAUGUAGAUCUGUUCAGGUGAAGAGUCUUAUCAAAAAUGUGAAGUUUGGGGCAGAUUGGACAUUGUAUGUGUGAGUUAUAGCACCAUCAUUUUUCAUGGCGAAUCAUCGAAAUUUGUCAGGCCGCCAUGGACACGCCCUUUAACGAAACCUCAAUUCCUUCGCAAUUUAACAUCGCAAAGGGCUUUAGAUUACACUGACCAAGUUUGUUGUUGAUCUGAAUAAAUCUCUAGGAGGAGUUCAUUAAAAUACAACCCCUGAAAAUGACAAAAACAACACCAAUUUUGCAGGGAAAAUAAAAAAUAACCGACUUCCUGUUGGGAUUCGGAUUUCGUACCAGGAGACUUUUUUGUAGCUAUUGGUGUGUUACAUAUGUUAACCGAUUUUCGUACAUGUAUAUGACAUGUAGCUCGAGGCGCACUCCAUUGAAAAUGUAUAGGUGGCGCUAUCGAGCCAUUUUGCCACACCCAAUGGAAUAUUAGCCUCCAGAUGUGUUCAGGUCAGGACUCUUAUCAAACAUUUGAAGUUUGGGCAAGAUCUGAUAUUUUAUGACUGAGUUACAACAACUUCUACUCCCAUGGCGAGACAUCGAACUUUGACAUGGCGCCAUGGACACGCCCUUUAACGAAAACUCAAGAUCUUCUCAAUUUAACAUCUUACAGGCCUUUAGAUUAGACUGACGACAAAAAAGACAUUGAUGUCAAAAAUUUCUAGGAGUAGUUUGUCGCAGCGUAAAAUAUGUCACUUCCUGUUGCCAAUAGGUGGCGCUAUGACUGUAACUGAAUAUGGUCGUGUCAAACUGUUCAGGACAGGAGUCUCAUCAAACAUGUGAAGUUUGGGGCAGAUUGGUCAUUUUAUGUCUGAGUUAUAGCAACUUCCUGUUUCAUGGCGAAUCAUCGAAAAUCGCCAGGCCGCCACACACAGGCCCUUCAACGAAAACUCAAAAGCUUCGCAAUUUAACAUCGCAAAGGCCUUUAGAUUAGGCAUACCAAAUUUGGUGUUGAUCUGAAUUAAUCUCUAGGAGGAGUUCGUUAAAAUACAACGCAUGGAAAUGACAAAAAUGACACAAAAUUUGCUCAUAAUAUUAGAAAUAACCGACUUCCUGUCUGGUUUCGGAUUUUGCUCCAAGAGACUUUUUUGUAGGUAUUGGAGAGUUACAUGUGUAUACCGAUUUUCAUACAUGUACAUGAAACGUAGCUCGAGGCGCACACCGUUGAACGUGUAUAGGUGGCGCUGUUGAGCCAUUUUGCCACACCCACUUCUGAAACCCAUAUCAGACGUAAAUUUUCGCCAGUUCUGAGGUGUGUGCAAAGUUUCAUGACUUUUCGAGCAUGUUUAGGCCCUCAAAAAUGCGAUUCAUCUUAGAGAAGAAGAAUAAUAAUAAUAAAUAUAGCUGCAAGCAGCGAUGGCGGGCUCAAGCCACCAAUGCCAUCGCCACCCCGGUGGCAUCAGGUAAACUGUGCCCAGCGGGCACAUGCAUUCACAAUAUCCCUCUGGCAGUGAGGUUUUAAAGGA
Carassius gibelio (silver crucian carp) is the source of this 3752-nucleotide long non-coding RNA. RefSeq lists it as uncharacterized. The record is from RefSeq and is a predicted model, not a curated record. Lineage: Eukaryota; Metazoa; Chordata; Actinopteri; Cypriniformes; Cyprinidae. The transcript is spliced from 3 exons.